Aedes aegypti (yellow fever mosquito) is the source of this 615-nucleotide long non-coding RNA. RefSeq lists it as uncharacterized. NCBI's taxonomy places the organism in Eukaryota, Metazoa, Arthropoda, Insecta, Diptera, Culicidae. The transcript has 2 exons. The record is from RefSeq and is a predicted model, not a curated record.
GUUGAAGUCGUUCAAAAUGCUGCACCCCCACAUCCAUCGAACACCGAACCCUGCAACAACAGGUGCUUCGAACAACAUCAGCAACGACGAAAACAAUUCCAAACCCCCAAGUAAGCUAAGUAGCUCCCAAAGAACACUUUUGAAAACAUUCGGAUCGUUCAUUUGUAUCAUGCUAGUGUUCUAUCUGUGUUGGCUUGUUUUACACCAGUCGGAACAGUAGCUCCAAAGUCGAGUAAGAGCCCACAUUAGCGAGCAUCACCCACCCUCGAAAACAAGAUCGCCACCGCAGGCUCCAGCCUUAACUGGGAAUACCCCAUCAUCGCCACUAUCGGAACACAAUCAGCGGAAAAAAGGAAUAAAACCCAAUCACCACGGAGGGAAAACCUCAAAAAUUGGAAAAGUCAUUAGCGGCAGCUGGUGGUCCCGACUAGGGGGGUGUGAUUAUUACCAUUUUUACCGAUGGGGGUACCCAUGGGCGUAGCCAGGGGGAUUCACGAAGGAAUUCAGCAAGAUUCACCAAGAAUUUCUUCUUAGAUUUUUUUUUAUUUUCACUAGAUACUUUAGUUUGUUCAGCGUAUUUCAUAAAUGAACAUGUAAAGGUUUAUUUUUCUGCCA